UCUGGUCUUGGGACACUGUCAGGUGGGCAGUUUGACUGGGGCGGUCGCCUCCCAAAAGGUAACGGAGGCGCUCAAAGGUUCUCUCAGUACGGUCGGAAAUCGUACGUAGAGUGUAAAGGCAAAAGAGAGCUUGAUUGCAAGACAUACAGGUCGAGCAAGGAUGAAAAUCGGACUUAGUGAUCCGGUGGUUCUGCGUGGAAGGGCCAUCGCUCAACGGAUAAAAGCUACCCUGGGGAUAACAGGCUUAUCUCCCCCAAGAGUCCACAUCGACGGGGAGGUUUGGCACCUCGAUGUCGGCUCAUCACAUCCUGGGGCUGUAGUAGGUCCCAAGGGUUGGGCUGUUCGCCCAUUAAAGUGGUACGCGAGCUGGGUUCAGAACGUCGUGAGACAGUUCGGUCCCUAUCCGUCGCAGGCGUAGGAAAUUUGAGAAGACCUGUCCUUAGUACGAGAGGACCGGGAUGGACGUACCUCUGGUGUACCAGUUGUCCUGCCAAGGGCAUGGCUGGGUAGCUAUGUACGGAAUGGAUAAGCGCUGAAAGCAUCUAAGCGCGAAGCCAACUUCAAGAUAAGAUUUCCCACCGCAAGGGUAAGACCCCAGAAAGACUAUCUGGUUGAUAGGUCGAAGGUGUAAGUGUAGCAAUGUAUUUAGCUUAUCGAUACUAAUAGGUCGAGGACUUGACCAAUAUU
Molecule: ribosomal RNA, 687 nt
Filed under: Clostridioides difficile
Lineage: Bacteria; Bacillati; Bacillota; Clostridia; Peptostreptococcales; Peptostreptococcaceae
Description: bacterial LSU rRNA
Rfam family: Bacterial large subunit ribosomal RNA
Source: RNAcentral